Molecule: ribosomal RNA, 497 nt
Filed under: uncultured bacterium
Lineage: Bacteria
Description: partial 16S ribosomal RNA
Rfam family: Bacterial small subunit ribosomal RNA
Source: RNAcentral
GAUGAACGCUGGCGGCGUGCCUAAUACAUGCAAGUCGAGCGAACAGACGAGGAGCUUGCUCCUCUGACGUUAGCGGCGGACGGGUGAGUAACACGUGGAUAACCUACCUAUAAGACUGGGAUAACUUCGGGAAACCGGAUCUAAUACCGGAUAAUAUAUUGAACCGCAUGGUUCAAUAGUGAAAGACGGUUUUGCUGUCACUUAUAGAUGGAUCCCCGCCGCAUUAGCUAGUUGUUAAGGUAACGGCUUACCAAGGCAACGAUGCGUAGCCGACCUGAGAGGGUGAUCGGCCACACUGGAACUGAGACACGGUCCAGACUCCUACGGGAGGCAGCAGUAGGGAAUCUUCCGCAAUGGGCGAAAGCCUGACGGAGCAACGCCGCGUGAGUGAUGAAGGUCUUCGGAUCGUAAAACUCUGUUAUUAGGGAAGAACAAAUGUGUAAGUAACUAUGCACGUCUUGACGGUACCUAAUCAGAAAGCCACGGCUAACUACGUG